UUAAGCAUAUCAAUAAGCGGAGGAAAAGAAACCAACAGGGAUUGCCUCAGUAACGGCGAGUGAAGCGGCAACAGCUCAAAUUUGAAAUCUGGCCGUCCGGUCCGAGUUGUAAUUUGUAGAGGAUGUUUUGGGUACCGCCGUGGUUUAAUUUCCUUGGAACAGGAAGCCACAGAGGGUGAGAGUCCCGUCUUGGACCGCGGUAGGGCCUGUGUAAAACUCCUUCGACGAGUCGAGUUGUUUGGGAAUGCAGCUCAAAAUGGGUGGUAAAUUUCAUCUAAAGCUAAAUAUUGGCCAGAGACCGAUAGCGCACAAGUAGAGUGAUCGAAAGAUGAAAAGCACUUUGAAAAGAGAGUUAAACAGUAUGUGAAAUUGUUGAAAGGGAAGCGCAGGCAACCAGACUCGCGCGCGGGGUUCCCCCUGGCUUCUGCCUGGGUCACUUCCCCGCGUCCGGGCCAUCAUCAGUUUUGGGGACCGGUCAAAGGUCUCGGGAAUGUAUCCUCUCCUUCGGGGGAGGACUUAUAGCCCGGGGCGUCAUGCGGCCUCCUGGGACUGAGGAACGCGCUUCGGCGAGGAUGAUGGCGUAAUGGUUGUCUGCGACCCGUCUUGAAACACGGACCAAGGAGUCUAACAUCUAUGCGAGUGUUCGGGUGACAAACCCUUGCGCGGAAUGAAAGUGAACGGAGGUAGGAAGGCCGCACGGCCUGCACUAUCGACCGAUCCUGAUGUCUUCGGAUGGAUUUGAGUAAGAGCAUAGCUGUUGGGACCCGAAAGAUGGUGAACUAUGCGUGAAUAGGGUGAAGCCAGAGGAAACUCUGGUGGAGGCUCGCAGCGGUUCUGACGUGCAAAUCGAUCGUCAAAUUUGCGUAUAGGGGCGAAAGACUAAUCGAACUGUCUGGUAGCUGGUUCCUGCCAA
Molecule: ribosomal RNA, 913 nt
Filed under: Metulocladosporiella musae
Lineage: Eukaryota; Fungi; Ascomycota; Eurotiomycetes; Chaetothyriales; Herpotrichiellaceae
Description: LSU rRNA
Rfam family: Eukaryotic large subunit ribosomal RNA
Source: RNAcentral